AGAGAAUAGAUACCCUGGUAGUCCAGGGUGUAAACGCUGCGGGCUUGGUGUUGGGGUCCUUAGUGGGCGCCCAGUGCCGGAGAGAAAGUUGUUAAGCCUGCUGCUUGGGGAGUAUGUCCGCAAGGAUGAAACUUAAAGGAAUUGGCGGGGGAGCACCGCAACGGGAGGAGCGUGCGGUUCAAUUGGAUUCAACGCCGAAAACCUCACCAGGAGCGACGGAUAUAUGAAGGUCAAGCUGAUGACUUUACCUGAUUUUCCGAGAGGUGGUGCAUGGCCGUCGUCAGUUCGUACCGUAAGGCGUUCUCUUAAGUGAGAUAACGAACGAGACCCUCACCAUUAAUUGCUAGUCUCUUCUCCGGAGGAGGCGCACAUUAAUGGGACCGCUGGCGCUAAGUCAGAGGAAGGAGAGGUCAACGGUAGGUCCGUAUGCCCCGAAUCCCCUGGGCAACACGCGCGCUACAAAGGGUGGGACAAUGGGCUUCGACACCGAAAGGUUGAAGACAAUCCUGAAACCCAUCCAUAGUUCGGAUCGGGGGUCUGUAACCCGCCCC
RNAcentral lists this ribosomal RNA (551 nucleotides) under uncultured bacterium. RNAcentral's name for it is "bacterial SSU rRNA". It matches the Rfam family "Archaeal small subunit ribosomal RNA", at positions 725 to 1274 of the family's 1478-position model. The record is from RNAcentral.